This 1170-nucleotide ribosomal RNA is filed under the name Triticum aestivum (bread wheat). RNAcentral's name for it is "partial small subunit ribosomal RNA". Lineage: Eukaryota; Viridiplantae; Streptophyta; Magnoliopsida; Poales; Poaceae. The record is from RNAcentral.
AUGGCGCUCACGUCCGCGUCCUCUUCUCCGACUCCGUCGACCGCCUCAUCUGCUGUCGCCACCAUGGCCGCGACUGCUCUUGCCUCACGCAAGGCUGCCCCUAGAGCUGGUGGCCGCUUGUCCCGCGCCGGCGCUGGACUCCCGUCGAGGCCGGUUGUGGCUGCAGGUCCGGCGGUGCAUCCUCCCACGCCCGGCGUCGACGCGUUGUCCACCCAGGACACAGCGUGUGCUGCUUCAGAUCCCCGUUGCCCUGGCCUGAUGGAUGGUGGGCUCGGGUCCUUGCCGCCGCCGUGGCUUGGGUGUCUCCCGUCCCUAGGCUCUACUGACGCUGCUCCCUCCUGCGUCGCGCCGUCAACCCCGAACCCGACUGCAGCUGUGGGUGCGUCGUCCCCAACUACUGCAGGCGCUGCUACGUUGUUCCUGGCCCCUGCGGAAGCCCCGCCGUCACCCCCGACUGCUGUUGCUGAAGCAACGUCCACGGCUUCUACGAGCUGCGAUACAUCAUCCUCUGCUACUGUGGAGCCGACGCCGUCCUCAACUCCUGCCGGCACGACGUUGGGUCUGGACACGGAGCGGUCAGUCUCGUGGAGCUCCCUUGCCGACAAAGAAGAAUACAAGGAUGACGAUGAAUUGGCUCCGCAAACGCCGCCGCCGGCUACCAAAUCCUCGGUUCCGGCUACUCGAUCGGACGGGACAUGUGGAGGUUGGCAGGAGGUAUUGCCGCGGCGCAAUGUGCAACGCCCGGACUCACCAGUCCCUGCAUUGGCUCCCCGUCCAGUCCCUGCAUGGCUUCGUGGUAGAUGUUGCAGAUGCCUCCUUCCUGGUCACGGUGCAGCGGUUUGCCGAGAUCCUUUUAGGUGUUCUCGGUGCCUUGAGAAUGGUCAUCAAGCGCGUGAGUGUCGCAAUGCUUGGCGUCCCCUCAGCUUCUUGGAAAGCCCUACUGUGUCACCGUUGCCACGCCUCCCCAUCAGACACCAACAAGCUCCAGCUCCUCGCAAGGUCCAGAAAGAAGCCUCGCCCCUCUCGAAGACAUCUUGUCGUGAUUCGUGGGCGUCGAUCAUUGCUGCUCCUGCUGGCUUUGUGGCCUCGACGGAUAUCCCAGUGCGGCCCGCCUUGGAGCGACAGGCUGAGCUGCUGCGCUCUGAGCUCCUUGGUAUGGCUUCCUUCUAG